GUGUGUGUGUGUGUUUAAGAGCAUCCUGUAACCAGAAACGCUUCAUGUUGUGAUAUACAGGAGGUAUUUUUGAACCUGAAAUUGGAUGGCCAAUUUAUAAGGAACACCUGCACACCUGGCCAAUUAUGCAAUUAUCCAAUCAGCCAAUCACACAGCAGCAGGAAUCUCCAUAAUCAAUAGGUUACAAACAGUGUUAUACAACAGUGUUGUGGUAACAGUUUGGAGAAGACUCAUGUCUGGGUAGGUGUCCUAAUACUUUUGGAUAUAUAUAGUAUAUAGUGAGUGUGCUUAUAAAAGAUUUCUUGUUAUUUGGUUAUGUUUAGUGGAGAUGUGAUGCAGGACGCACUGCUCCUCUCAGCCCUGUGAUUGAGAUUCAGUGUGAGACAGAGCUACAGCAGGUCCUCUUCUCUUGAUAAUGACCUAAAGGGCUCUUGACAUUCAGCAGCUGUGCAGUUUGUACGUGCAAGUUCACACAGGCUUCCGUGAUGUCAGAAGAUGACGAACGGCAUCCAGAGACGAGGGUUUCCGUGGCCAUCGCCAUGCCAACCGUCUCCAACCGAACGCCCACGCGGCCGAGGGUUCUACCCAGAGGACCCUGAGCUCAGGCUCUCCGCUUUGUUCUCACACAGUGUGCGUGGGGGUGAAACGUCAGGAUUCACGCUCGCCGAGUCGCAGGCGAUCCAAUUAUUCCCUUUAAUAAAGGGGUUGCUUAUUUAAC
Long non-coding RNA from Silurus meridionalis, 718 nucleotides. RefSeq lists it as uncharacterized. The record is from RefSeq and is a predicted model, not a curated record. The transcript is spliced from 3 exons. NCBI's taxonomy places the organism in Eukaryota, Metazoa, Chordata, Actinopteri, Siluriformes, Siluridae.